RNAcentral lists this ribosomal RNA (118 nucleotides) under Acanthamoeba sp. HK-S17. RNAcentral's name for it is "partial 18S rRNA". The record is from RNAcentral. Lineage: Eukaryota; Discosea; Longamoebia; Acanthamoebidae.
GAUUAGGAGACGUUGAAUACAAAACACCACCAUCGGCGCGGUCGUCCUUGGCGUCUCGGUCCCUCACGGGGCCCGGGCACGGCUUAGCCUUAUCCCGCCGGCAACUGACACCCACUCC